RNAcentral lists this non-coding RNA (18 nucleotides) under Mus musculus (house mouse). The record is from RNAcentral. Lineage: Eukaryota; Metazoa; Chordata; Mammalia; Rodentia; Muridae.
CUGUAGGCACCAUCAUAA